AUUGAACUGAAGAGUUUGAUCCUGGCUCAGAUUGAACGCUGGCGGCAUGCCUUACACAUGCAAGUCGAACGGCAGCACGGGUGCUUGCACCUGGUGGCGAGUGGCGAACGGGUGAGUAAUACAUCGGAACAUGUCCUGUAGUGGGGGAUAGCCCGGCGA
This 159-nucleotide ribosomal RNA is filed under the name Burkholderia gladioli. RNAcentral's name for it is "partial 16S ribosomal RNA". It matches the Rfam family "Bacterial small subunit ribosomal RNA", at positions 1 to 154 of the family's 1533-position model. Lineage: Bacteria; Pseudomonadati; Pseudomonadota; Betaproteobacteria; Burkholderiales; Burkholderiaceae. The record is from RNAcentral.